Molecule: ribosomal RNA, 491 nt
Filed under: uncultured bacterium
Lineage: Bacteria
Description: partial 16S ribosomal RNA
Rfam family: Bacterial small subunit ribosomal RNA
Source: RNAcentral
GGGGGGGGGGGGGGGGGGGGCGGGGGGGGGCGGGGCGGGCGGCGGCGCGGUGGGGGCUUGCUCUUGCGGGUGGCGGGUGGCGGACGGGUGAGGGAUACAUCGGGAUCUACUUUUUCGUGGGGGCUGGCGUAGGGCAACUUACGCUAAUACCGCAUACGACCUACGGGUGAAAGCAGGGGAUCUUCGGACCUUGCGCGAUUGAAUGCGCCGAUGUCGGAUUAGCUAGUUGGCGGGGUAAAGGCCCACCAAGGCGACGAUCCGUAGCUGGUCUGAGAGGAUGAUCAGCCACACUGGAACUGAGACACGGUCCAGACUCCGACGGGAGGCAGCAGUGGGGAAUAUUGGACAAUGGGCGCAAGCCUGAUCCAGCCAUACCGCGUGGGUGAAGAAGGCCUUCGGGUUGUAAAGCCCUUUUGUUGGGAAAGAAAAGCAGCAGGUUAAUACCCCGCUGUUCGGACGGUACCCAAAGAAUAAACACCGGCGAACUUCGU